AGUGAACGCUGGCGGUAGGCCUAACACAUGCAAGUCGAACGGCAGCACAGUAAGAGCUUGCUCUUACGGGUGGCGAGUGGCGGACGGGUGAGGAAUACAUCGGAAUCUAUUUUUUCGUGGGGGAUAACGUAGGGAAACUUACGCUAAUACCGCAUACGACCUACGGGUGAAAGAAGGGGAUCUUCGGACCUUGCGCGACUGAAUGAGCCGAUGUCGGAUUAGCUAGUUGGCGGGGUAAAGGCCCACCAAGGCGACGAUCCGUAGCUGGUCUGAGAGGAUGAUCAGCCACACUGGAACUGAGACACGGUCCAGACUCCUACGGGAGGCAGCAGUGGGGAAUAUUGGACAAUGGGCGCAAGCCUGAUCCAGCCAUACCGCGUGGGUGAAGAAGGCCUUCGGGUUGUAAAGCCCUUUUGUUGGGAAAGAAAAGCAGCAGGUUAAUACCCCGCUGUUCUGACGGUACCCAAAGAAUAAGCACCGGCUAACUUCGU
Molecule: ribosomal RNA, 491 nt
Filed under: uncultured bacterium
Lineage: Bacteria
Description: partial 16S ribosomal RNA
Rfam family: Bacterial small subunit ribosomal RNA
Source: RNAcentral